Molecule: ribosomal RNA, 253 nt
Filed under: uncultured bacterium
Lineage: Bacteria
Description: partial 16S ribosomal RNA
Rfam family: Bacterial small subunit ribosomal RNA
Source: RNAcentral
UACGUAGGGUGCGAGCGUUGUCCGGAAUUAUUGGGCGUAAAGGGCUCGUAGGCGGUUUGUCGCGUCGGGAGUGAAAUCCACUGGCUUAACUGGUGGCUUGCUUUCGAUACGGGCAGACUGGAGGUAUGCAGGGGAGAACGGAAUUCCUGGUGUAGCGGUGAAAUGCGCAGAUAUCAGGAGGAACACCAAUAGCGAAGGCAGCUCGCUGGGACGUUACUGACACUAAGGCGCGAAAGCGUGGGGAGCGAACAGG